GUGGGGAAUAUUCCGCAAUGGACGAAAGUCUGACGGAGCAACGCCGCGUGAGUGAUGAAGGUUUUCGGACUGUAAAGCUCUGUUGUUUGGGACGAAAGUGCCUGUUGCGAACAGUUACGGGUAUUGACGGUACUAAACGAGGAAGCCACGGCUAACUACGUGCCAGCAGCCGCGGUAAUACGUAGGUGGCAAGCGUUGUCGGGAAUUAUUGGGCGUAAAGAGCAUGAAGGCGGGAAUCUAAGUCUGUUGUUAAAAUGCGGGGCUCAACCCUGUAUUGCGAUGGAAACUGGGUUUCUUGAGUGCAUGAGAGGAAAGGGGAAUUCCCAGUGUAGCGGUGAAAUGCGUAGAUAUUGGGAGGAACACCAGUGGCGAAGGCGCCUUUCUGGACUGUGUCUGACGCUGAGAUGCGAAAGCCAGGGUAGCGAACGGGAUUAGAUACCCGGGUAGUCC
RNAcentral lists this ribosomal RNA (450 nucleotides) under uncultured bacterium. RNAcentral's name for it is "partial 16S ribosomal RNA". It matches the Rfam family "Bacterial small subunit ribosomal RNA", at positions 354 to 796 of the family's 1533-position model. The record is from RNAcentral.